Cyprinus carpio (common carp) is the source of this 568-nucleotide long non-coding RNA. RefSeq lists it as uncharacterized. Lineage: Eukaryota; Metazoa; Chordata; Actinopteri; Cypriniformes; Cyprinidae. The transcript is spliced from 3 exons. The record is from RefSeq and is a predicted model, not a curated record.
GAGUGUGAUUAUUGACUAUAUGGCACAUCUGUAUGUUUACCAUCUGUAUAACCAGCCAUCAGCAUUUGAUUACUGACUAGAUGAGCAUCUAUCAGUGUGAAUGCUGUAUUUCUAGCUGUUUGGAAGUUUUUUCUCUCUGUCCUGCAUUUGUCACGUCCCAGUUUUCUUAGUCACUCAGUUCCCAUGCAGUUCACCACACCUUCAAUUAAUUAGCCUCAAUUAGCCACAGACUUUAUUAGGCAGCACCUGAAUACAUAGCCUCAUCCUUUUUGUUCAUGCCACAUGGAGUAAUCCUAGUGUGUUGCUGCUUGAAAUGCCAUGUCUUCUGGCUUUUGUGCGUUACUGAACUAUAAGCCAUUCCCUCUGGACUGAACACAGCUGCUGCUGCUUUCCACUAACACAUAGAACGGUUUGACGAUAUGAGGGGGAGGAGGAAGAAAGAAGUCUGUUCUCAAAGCAAAAACAUGGAUGCUGACUAUGAAGUGCAGAAUCAUCAUCGAGACACAACAGCUAACAGACUCCUCUUCAGCAUUUGCUGUCCAUCGUGUCGAAAUUCAGAACUAGGUAA